UUACGACUAUACCACGUUAAAACACCGGUUUCCGUACGAUCACUGAAGUUAAGCUACCUCGUGACUGGUCAGUAUCUAGACGGUCGACCACUUGAAAAUAUCAGGUGCU
Non-coding RNA from Acanthosepion pharaonis, 109 nucleotides. The record is from the annotation of a GenBank genome assembly. NCBI's taxonomy places the organism in Eukaryota, Metazoa, Mollusca, Cephalopoda, Sepiida, Sepiidae.